GGGUUGUGAGGUUAAGCGACCAAGCGUACACGGUGGAUGCCCUGGCAGUCAGAGGCGAUGAAGGACGUGCUAAUCUGCGAAAAGCGCCGGUAAGGUGAUAUGAACCGUUAUAACCGGCGAUGUCCGAAUGGGGAAACCCAGUGUGACUCGUCACACUAUCAUUAACUGAAUCCAUAGGUUAAUGAGGCGAACCGGGGGAACUGAAACAUCUAAGUACCCCGAGGAAAAGAAAUCAACCGAGAUUCCCCCAGUAGCGGCGAGCGAACGGGGAGGAGCCCAGAGCCUGAAUCAGCAUGUGUGUUAGUGGAAGCGUCUGGAAAGGCGCGCGAUACAGGGUGACAGCCCCGUACACAAAAGCGCAUAUGCUGUGAGCUCGAUGAGUAGGGCGGGACACGUGGUAUCCUGUCUGAAUAUGGGGGGACCAUCCUCCAAGGCUAAAUACUCCUGACUGACCGAUAGUGAACCAGUACCGUGAGGGAAAGGCGAAAAGAACCCCGGCGAGGGGAGUGAAACAGAACCUGAAACCGUGUACGUACAAGCAGUGGGAGCCUCUCUUUAUGGGGGGUGACUGCGUACCUUUUGUAUAAUGGGUCAGCGACUUAUAUUCUGUAGCAAGGUUAACCGCAUAGGGGAGCCGAAGGGAAACCGAGUCUUAAUUGGGCGUUAAGUUGCAGGGUAUAGACCCGAAACCCGGUGAUCUAGCCAUGGGCAGGUUGAAGGUUGGGUAACACUAACUGGAGGACCGAACCGACUAAUGUUGAAAAAUUAGCGGAUGACCUGUGGCUGGGGGUGAAAGGCCAAUCAAACCGGGAGAUAGCUGGUUCUCCCCGAAAGCUAUUUAGGUAGCGCCUCGUGAACUCAUCUCCGGGGGUAGAGCACUGUUUCGGCUAGGGGGCCAUCCCGGCUUACCAACCCGAUGCAAACUGCGAAUACCGGAGAAUGUUAUCACGGGAGACACACGGCGGGUGCUAACGUCCGUCGUGAAGAG
RNAcentral lists this ribosomal RNA (988 nucleotides) under Salmonella enterica subsp. diarizonae. RNAcentral's name for it is "partial 23S ribosomal RNA". It matches the Rfam family "Bacterial large subunit ribosomal RNA", at positions 1 to 1017 of the family's 2925-position model. Lineage: Bacteria; Pseudomonadati; Pseudomonadota; Gammaproteobacteria; Enterobacterales; Enterobacteriaceae. The record is from RNAcentral.